CCUACGGGUGGCAGCAGUAAGGAAUAUUGGUCAAUGGACGCAAGUCUGAACCAGCCAUGCCGCGUGGAGGAUGAAGGUCCUCUGGAUUGUAAACUUCUUUUCUCUGGGACGAAACCCCCGAUUUCUAUCGGGCCUGACGGUACCAGAGGAAUAAGCACCGGCUAACUCCGUGCCAGCAGCCGCGGUAAUACGGAGGGUGCAAGCGUUAUCCGGAUUUACUGGGUUUAAAGGGAGCGUAGGCGGGCAGUUAAGUCAGUGGUGAAAUCUCUGGGCUUAACCCGGAAACUGCCAUUGAUACUAUCUGUCUUGAAUAUUCUGGAGGUAAGCGGAAUAUGUCAUGUAGCGGUGAAAUGCUUAGAUAUGACAUAGAACACCCAUUGCGAAGGCAGCUUACUACGGGAUUAUUGACGCUGAGGCUCGAAAGCGUGGGGAUCAAACAGGAUUAGAUACCCUGGUAGUC
RNAcentral lists this ribosomal RNA (460 nucleotides) under uncultured bacterium. Its description in RNAcentral is "bacterial SSU rRNA". It matches the Rfam family "Bacterial small subunit ribosomal RNA", at positions 338 to 795 of the family's 1533-position model. The record is from RNAcentral.